AGUGAACGCUGGCGGUAGGCCUAACACAUGCAAGUCGAACGGCAGCACAGUAAGAGCUUGCUCUUACGGGUGGCGAGUGGCGGACGGGUGAGGAAUACAUCGGAAUCUACUUUUUCGUGGGGGAUAACGUAGGGAAACUUACGCUAAUACCGCAUACGACCUACGGGUGAAAGCAGGGGAUCUUCGGACCUUGCGCGAUUGAAUGAGCCGAUGUCGGAUUAGCUAGUUGGCGGGGUAAAGGCCCACCAAGGCGACGAUACGUAGCUGGUCUGAGAGGAUGAUCGGCCACACUGGAACUGAGACACGGUCCAGACUCCUACGGGAGGCAGCAGUGGGGAAUAUUGGACAAUGGGCGAAAGCCUGAUCCAGCCAUACCGCGUGGGUGAAGAAGGCCUUCGGGUUGUAAAGCCCUUUUGUUGGGAAAGAAAAGCAGCAGGUUAAUACCCCGCUGUUCUGACGGUACCCAAAGAAUAAGCACCGGCUAACUUCGUG
This 492-nucleotide ribosomal RNA is filed under the name uncultured bacterium. Its description in RNAcentral is "partial 16S ribosomal RNA". It matches the Rfam family "Bacterial small subunit ribosomal RNA", at positions 29 to 507 of the family's 1533-position model. The record is from RNAcentral.